GCGCCCCUAGCUCAACUGGAUAGAGCAGCUGACUCUUAAUCAGCGGGUUCGGGGUUCGAGUCCCCGGGGGCGUA
This 74-nucleotide transfer RNA is filed under the name Acidimicrobiia bacterium. Its description in RNAcentral is "tRNA-Lys". It matches the Rfam family "tRNA". Rfam says of the family: Transfer RNA (tRNA) molecules are approximately 80 nucleotides in length. Their secondary structure includes four short double-helical elements and three loops (D, anti-codon, and T loops). Lineage: Bacteria; Bacillati; Actinomycetota; Acidimicrobiia. RNAcentral also lists the same sequence under 1 other name. The record is from RNAcentral.